This is a long non-coding RNA of Poecilia latipinna (sailfin molly), 331 nucleotides long. RefSeq lists it as uncharacterized. NCBI's taxonomy places the organism in Eukaryota, Metazoa, Chordata, Actinopteri, Cyprinodontiformes, Poeciliidae. The record is from RefSeq and is a predicted model, not a curated record. The transcript is spliced from 2 exons.
UUGGUAGGCGGACCAGAACCCCCGAAACGAACUGGACUCUCCAGGCAAAUGAACUUCAGCUUAAAGCUGAACAGGGUGUGAAAGCACCCUUAACACCACAAUUAGUUCUCAGGACAGCUGAUGGAGCGUUCAGGAGAUGUGUUGGUUAGAGGAACGAGGGAUCAGUCUGACACAUGCCUGACCUGACAUGCAGAGGAAGACUAAUGUUGACAUCCGACCUCAAUGAAACAUAAGAACUGAAAAGAACUUCACUGGAAGCAAGAUGGAGGCAGGAUGGAUCAACGUUGUCAGCAGCAGCCUGUUCCGAACAAGGUGGGGACAGCGUGAACCG